UCAAACUUGGUCAUUUAGAGGAAGUAAAAGUCGUAACAAGGUUUCCGUAGGUGAACCUGCGGAAGGAUCAUUACUGAGUAAAGGUUUUUAAAUAAGCCUGACCUCCAACCCUUUGUUAAAUUAUACCUCUUGUUGCUUUGGUGUUUUUUAACUAAAACACCAACAGCCUUAACAAAAAAUUCUUUUUUAAUUAUGUUUUAAUGCCUGAAUUUUAAAUUAUAAAUUUAAACAAAACUUUCAACAACGGAUCUCUUGGUUCUGGCAUCGAUGAAGAACGCAGC
RNAcentral lists this unclassified non-coding RNA (281 nucleotides) under uncultured fungus. RNAcentral describes it as "partial contains small subunit ribosomal RNA, internal transcribed spacer 1, and 5.8S ribosomal RNA". The stretch from base 1 to 73 matches the Rfam family "Eukaryotic small subunit ribosomal RNA", at positions 1759 to 1831 of the family's 1831-position model. Lineage: Eukaryota; Fungi. The record is from RNAcentral.